GACGUAGGGGGCAAGCGUUGUCCGGAAUCAUUGGGCGUAAAGCGCUCGUAGGCGGAUCAGUAAGUCUGUGAAGAAAGACCCGGGCUCAACUCGGGGAACGGCAUGGAUACUAUUGAUCUUGAGGUAAUCAGAGGAUGAUGGAAUUCCCGGUGUAGAGGUGAAAUUCGUAGAUAUUCGGAAGAACACCAGUGGCGAAGGCGACUUACUGGACACAUAUUGACGCUGAGGUGCGAAAGCGUGGGGAGCAAACAGG
This 253-nucleotide ribosomal RNA is filed under the name uncultured prokaryote. RNAcentral's name for it is "partial 16S ribosomal RNA". It matches the Rfam family "Bacterial small subunit ribosomal RNA", at positions 524 to 776 of the family's 1533-position model. The record is from RNAcentral.